CUAUUCCAUGGAUCGACUCACGAUCAAAAGGUGUGGGUUGAUCUAGGACUUGAUCCGACGGCUGAAGUGAUUUUGGGCUAUUGUUUGGGCCUGAUUAGGAUUCCUAAUCCUAAUCUAACCUAGGUUUAAGGCCUUUAAAAGCCUGUGUACACAAAUAGAGAACGGAAGGUGGCUAGUGAUCUCGUGGAUGCGUGGACGGCUCCGCGCGGUGCUUUGUUUCUUCAGCAAAAAUAGAGAACCCCGUGA
Molecule: long non-coding RNA, 246 nt
Filed under: Elaeis guineensis (African oil palm)
Lineage: Eukaryota; Viridiplantae; Streptophyta; Magnoliopsida; Arecales; Arecaceae
Description: long non-coding RNA (EGUI_LNC044845)
Source: RNAcentral